UACAGCCAUACCAAUUUUAAAUACCGGUUUCCGUAUGAUCACCGAAGUUAAGAAACGUCGAGCCUGGUCAUUACACAGAUGGGUGACUGCUUGGGAAUAGUUUG
This is a non-coding RNA of Acanthosepion pharaonis, 104 nucleotides long. NCBI's taxonomy places the organism in Eukaryota, Metazoa, Mollusca, Cephalopoda, Sepiida, Sepiidae. The record is from the annotation of a GenBank genome assembly.